Molecule: ribosomal RNA, 385 nt
Filed under: uncultured euryarchaeote
Lineage: Archaea; Methanobacteriati; Methanobacteriota
Description: bacterial SSU rRNA
Rfam family: Archaeal small subunit ribosomal RNA
Source: RNAcentral
GCGCGAAACCUCUGCAAUGCACGAAAGUGUGACAGGGGGACCCCAAGUGCUUAUGUUUUACAUAGGCUUUUGCCAAGUGUAAAUAGCUUGGAGAAUAAGUGGUGGGCAAGACUGGUGCCAGCCGCCGCGGUAACACCAGCGCCACGAGUGGGAAUCGCGUAUUUGGCCUAAAGCGUCCGUAGUCGGUCUUAUAAAUUUCUUGUGAAAUCGAUUUGCCUAACAAAUCGGCGUGCAGGAAAGACUGCAAGACUCGGAAUCGGGAGGGGUAAGGAGUAUUCGGUGGGGAGCGGUAAAAUGCGAUAAUCCACCGAAGACUACCUGUGGCGAAGGCGCCUUACCAGAACGAAUUCGACGAUGAGGGACGAAAGCUGGGGGAGCGAUCCGG